This 21-nucleotide microRNA is filed under the name Zea mays. RNAcentral describes it as "zma-miR529-3p". Its record names the gene zma-miR529-3p. Lineage: Eukaryota; Viridiplantae; Streptophyta; Magnoliopsida; Poales; Poaceae. The record is from miRBase by way of RNAcentral. RNAcentral also lists the same sequence under 2 other names.
GCUGUACCCUCUCUCUUCUUC